AUCUCUUACCCAUGUCUUUUGAGUACUUACGUUUCCUCGGUGGGUUCGCCCGCCGAUUGGACAAUUUAAACCCUUUGCAGUUGCAAUCAGCGUCUGAAAAACAUAAUAGUUACAACUUUCAACAACGGAUCUCUUGGUUCUGGCAUCGAUGAAGAACGCAGCGAAAUGCGAUAAGUAGUGUGAAUUGCAGAAUUCAGUGAAUCAUCGAAUCUUUGAACGCACAUUGCGCCCCUUGGUAUUCCAUGGGGCAUGCCUGUUCGAGCGUCAUUUGUACCUUCAAGCUUUGCUUGGUGUUGGGUGUUUGUCUCGCCUCUGCGUGUAGACUCGCCUUAAAACAAUUGGCAGCCGGCGUAUUGAUUUCGGAGCGCAGUACAUCUCGCGCUUUGCACUCAUAACGACGACGUCCAAAAGUACAUUUUUACACUCUUGACCUCGGAUCAGGUAGGGAUACCCGCUGAACUUAAGCAUAUCAAUAAGGCCGGAGGAA
Molecule: ribosomal RNA, 487 nt
Filed under: Microsphaeropsis olivacea
Lineage: Eukaryota; Fungi; Ascomycota; Dothideomycetes; Pleosporales; Didymellaceae
Description: eukaryotic LSU rRNA
Rfam family: 5.8S ribosomal RNA (bases 114-267)
Source: RNAcentral